Molecule: non-coding RNA, 1502 nt
Organism: Physcomitrium patens
Lineage: Eukaryota; Viridiplantae; Streptophyta; Bryopsida; Funariales; Funariaceae
Source: RefSeq, a predicted model, not a curated record
AAGUGGUAAAGGGCGGCGAUGUGCCAAUGAGGAAAGCGCACAGCGUCGUCCCUCUGCCAAACCAGCCUCCCUCUCUCCCUCCUGUUGCCUGCUUUGCCUCCGUGCUACCCUUGCCUCCCUCCCUCGCUCCCUCUCUCUCCCCCCUCGCACCGAUCUCACCCUCCUCCCUCUCUCCCUGCACAGCACAUACAUACGCUGCAGACGUUGUUGUCCCCUUCUCCUUCCCCUUCGACCUCCCCUUCUCUCCGCCACACCGGACCCCCUCUCCCCUCCCUCCUCCCUCCCUCCCUUCUUCAUUGCCUCCCGGGAAUACUUACCCCUUUACUUCAUCGGCGUCUCGCUUUGCUGGGCAGGCUCCUCUCUCCAAACUACGGCAUUCGUCUUGGCCUUCCCUUUAGGAGUUGAGAUUUAAUGGCGGAGGCUGGAAGUCCUGGUAGUCAAGAUAGUCCGCACUCGGAUGAAUACGGGGGUAACCAUGGGGGCGGUGAUAGGGACAACUCUAGUGUUCGUGAGCAGGAUCGUUUUCUUCCAAUUGCCAACAUUAGCCGCAUCAUGAAGAAGGCGUUGCCUGCUAAUGCUAAGAUUGCCAAAGAUGCGAAGGAGACUGUUCAGGAGUGUGUUUCAGAAUUCAUCAGUUUCAUCACUAGCGAAGCUAGCGACAAAUGUCAGCGCGAAAAGAGAAAGACAAUAAAUGGAGACGAUUUACUGUGGGCUAUGAGCACAUUAGGGUUCGAAGACUACGUCGAACCGCUAAAAGUUUAUCUUCAUAAGUAUAGAGAGAUUGAGGGUGCUUUGACAAACAAGGCUGGAGAAUCAUCCUCUGGCAAGAAGGAGGGAAGUAACAUUGUGUCUCCUGGUGUGCAAGUGAGAUUCUAAUGCUGCACUCACUUAAUAUGUCUUCAGAUCUAGUGCUACUUAUCGAGGAGCCUGUAUUCUUUUUCACGAUGUUUUAGAUGGUACAGCAAGGAGGUUACAACCCCUACAUGCAAGCGCAGAUGAUGACUUCUGGCAAUUACCAGGUACAGCAUUAUUAGAUCGCCUACUUACAUUUUCGAAUCUACUUAAGAGAAAGAUGCAGGAAUAGAUGGUGGGCGCUCCUGGGGAAAAACUGUAAAUCUGUGUAAAGGCAGACAAUGGUAGCUGUAGGUGUAGGUUUGAGAUUUAGUAACCCGUGUACUGUCCUUUUGGGACAUGGAUUUAUGGGGAAAUUCAGUAUUAUGUGACAAGCGAAUGGGCUUAAUGAAGGGAAAGGAAUGCUGGUCACGAUCACGUUUCUGGUUUUGUCAGUACUACCCAGACAGAGUUUUUUAGAUGCUCUGUUAGAGAGACCUGUGUGAGCUUCAGUCAUCGCAGGGAUAUCUAGACGACCAAAUGGUCAGGAAUUUGUCAGCACUUUUUAAGCACACUGCUGAUUCAAUGCGGAAACUGUAUUAUCUCUUGAAAAGAAGAAAUGAUCCUUUUAGUGUUUUAUUUUGACAGCUAUGGAGCUGUGCGUUAUAACA